RNAcentral lists this ribosomal RNA (459 nucleotides) under uncultured bacterium. RNAcentral describes it as "partial 16S ribosomal RNA". It matches the Rfam family "Bacterial small subunit ribosomal RNA", at positions 338 to 795 of the family's 1533-position model. The record is from RNAcentral.
CCUACGGGUGGCAGCAGUGAGGAAUAUUGGUCAAUGGGCGGGAGCCUGAACCAGCCAAGUCGCGUGAGGGAAGAAGGUACUGAGUAUUGUAAACCUCUUUUGCCAGGGGACAAAGGCGGCCACGGGUGGCCGUAAGAGGGUACCUGGAGAAAAAGCAUCGACUAACUCCGUGCCAGCAGCCGCGGUAAUACGGAGGAUGCGAGCGUUAUCCGGAUUUACUGGGUGUAAGGGGAGCGUAGGCGGGCGAUAAAGUUGAAUGUUAAAUCUACCGGCUUAACUGUUAGCUGCGUUCAAAACGUCUUGUAUUGAGUGAAGUAGAGGCAGGCGGAAUUCCUAGUGUAGCGGUGAAAUGCGUAGAUAUUAGGAGGAACACCAGUGGCGAAGGCGGCCUGCUGGGCUUUAACUGACGCUGAGGCUCGAAAGCGUGGGGAGCAAACAGGAUUAGAUACCCCUGUAGUC